GAGCAUGUGGUUUAAUUNGAAGCAACGCGAAGAACCUUACCAGGUCUUGACAUCCUUUGACCACCCAAGAGAUUGGGCUUCCCCUUCGGGGGCAAAGUGACAGGUGGUGCAUGGUUGUCGUCAGCUCGUGUCGUGAGAUGUUGGGUUAAGUCCCGCAACGAGCGCAACCCUUGAUCUUAGUUGCCAGCAUUGAGUUGGGCACUCUAAGGUGACUGCCGGUGACAAACCGGAGGAAGGUGGGGAUGACGUCAAAUCAUCAUGCCCCUUAUGACCUGGGCUACACACGUGCUACAAUGGAUGGUACAAAGNGCAGNGAAGCCGCGAGGUGAAGCCAAUCCCAUAAAGCCNNUNNNNNUCGGAUUGCAGGCUGCAACUCGCCUGCAUGAAGCCGGAAUUGCUAGUAAUCGNGGNNCNGC
This 416-nucleotide ribosomal RNA is filed under the name Shouchella clausii. RNAcentral's name for it is "Bacillus clausii partial 16S ribosomal RNA". It matches the Rfam family "Bacterial small subunit ribosomal RNA", at positions 935 to 1353 of the family's 1533-position model. The record is from RNAcentral. Lineage: Bacteria; Bacillati; Bacillota; Bacilli; Caryophanales; Bacillaceae.